Molecule: long non-coding RNA, 2838 nt
Filed under: Schizosaccharomyces pombe (fission yeast)
Lineage: Eukaryota; Fungi; Ascomycota; Schizosaccharomycetes; Schizosaccharomycetales; Schizosaccharomycetaceae
Source: RNAcentral
ACUUCUUUUUGCUUGCAAAGUUGGUCGAUAAGUUCUUGAGUAACAUAAACAUCAUUUGGUCGAUUAGUAUGGGAUUCAAGCAAUUGUUCGUAUUGUGGAACAUCAGCGGGCUCAACACCGAGUUCAGACCACAAACCCAAAAUUUCUUCUUCAAAGGAAUUAAUAACCUCUAAUCUCGCAUCAAUCUCCUUUUCGGCUUCGUUGAUGCGUCCUCUCAAAGAUUCAGUAAAAGCAUCGGAUACAUCAGAUAAAAAUGAAUUCUCAAAAUCAGGUAAAACGAACGGACUUCCUAAGCGGUUACAAUAUGACUCCAAUUUGUGAUACAUUUCUAUACAUCAGUUAAAACACAAGUCUAAAUUAAAGACGAUUACAUACCUUUAAUCGUACUUAACUUUUGAUCAUACUGUGCCAUAUAUUGUCCUUCUACCAUUGACAAACGAUUCAAACACUGAAUUAAAGGAGACUCAAUUUUGAGACUAGAAGUAUCAUCCGUUAACUUUAAUGAGGAAACCAAAAAUCUGAUUGAAUCAAUUCUUUGCUGACAGUCAUCUUCAAGUUUUUUCUGGCACUGUUCCAUUUCAUGAAGCUGGGCAUUCAUUGCCGUUGUAAACAACUCAAAUAAUGAUGAAUUGUCUCCAUCUGUUCCAAGGACUUGGUGAAGCCUUUCAAUUUUAGAAAAAUGCUUUUCCACUUGUUCACGAAACGCUUUCCAAGUAAAGUUAGAUUCAUUAUUAGAGUGAUUAUCUUUUUCAGCAAUAGAAUCAGUGCUUUGAAUGUCAUCCAUCAUUACUGUUUGCAUUGAACCGGUUGAUGUAAAUGAGCUCAAUAAAACGAUGUUUGAAAUUCAAUUAAUAGAAUAUAAAGGAAGAUAUGAAAACUGUUAAGAUGUUGAUAUAUUAUAACAUAACAAGCAGUACAAGGAAUUAACCUUGCAUAAAAGCUUGGCACAAAAAUGGUGGUUGGAUAUGGCUUGGCCUGCGAAAGUAACUCAGCAUGCGCUUAUAUUCCAAAGAAAGCAAAUAGAUUUCAAUGUCAGCACUGUAUAAACGUUAUUCAGCUCCUUUUAGUAUAAACAAAAUACUUAGAAUUGUAAGUUGAAGAAUAUUUAUGUGCCUGAAAUAUACCAAUGUAAGGAAGCACAUAAAGUUCUACAAACUGGUAUCUUUUGCUCUACCUAAAAUAUGAUACAAGAAAAUUCAAAUACUGCUUAAAAGGAUACAAAGGCUUACUUUUUAAGUCUUAUCGUAAUCAAUAUAAUUAGACUUAUGCAUACAAAAUAUCAUCUAAGAGAGAAAAGCAUUCAUGAUUUGUUCAAUUCUUUUAUUUGCUCAUAUUCAAAGACAGGAUCUAGGACUAUGGGAGAAUUAUUUUAUGUAAUAUUAACCGCAAUUGGGAUUCAACCCAGUAUCGCGAAACCCAUUUCCUUUAAAAAAAAAAUCAUAUACAACAAAAAGAAACAAUUGUGAGUCGAUUGUCCAUAAAGACAGUAGGGAUAAAAAAGUAUUGGGUGAGAAAAAAAUGAAAAUAAAUAUAACCAGCUUGGAAGAAUGCAAAUGUAUAUAAGUCAUGCGUUAAAUUUUUACAAUUCAACAUGCAAAGGGCUAGUGGAGAAGGUAACGGCAGGCUUUGGGAGGUAAAUUAACUGGGCUCGGCCAGCAGUGUUUGCUGAUAGCUUUCCAGCUCGUCGCAUUUGAGCUUCUAAAACAAAUACUCGGAAAAAAUUAGGAUUUAAUCGAGGACGUCUGAUUUCAGGUUUCACACUUCGCUUUUCCCAGGGUUGAAGCGGGGUGUACAAAGUGAAAUUGGCAUCUGGCGCACAAUCCUCCAUCAACCAAUCAUCCUGAAAAAGCUUGAAAUUUUGACAAAGCAAACCAUUUGUCAGGUUGCUUUCGCCAUGCGAAGAUGAGAGAUUUAAAAUGGAGGCACUUGGAUCCAAAUGCACUUCUGGCUUGUGAAAUACACGUCUGAUGAUAUUACGAGAUAGCGACAUUAUUUUAUGCUGUAAAGAAGCUCGAGACUUAUUUAAAGAUGCUAAAGAUGUUUUUUUGGACAACCUAGAUGAGUAGAAAUUAGAUGAUAAACUAGAGCCACUCCUAUUGCAGGCGGUCAAGUUAGAGGAAGCAUCCUUUGAUUGUUCCAAAAAAGAGGAUUGCUCCUCAAGACUUUUAGAAAGUGGAUGGUUAUGCUCUACGGGCUCCAUAACUAUGAUAUUGUUAGCAACGAUGAAUAAAUAAAAGAUAAGAGAAAAGGUUGAAAAAUCUUAAAAGAACAUACAUUGACCUCUUAAACGAGGAACAGAUUUGGAUUUUUUUAAGUUGUUAAUAUUCAAGUAAAUAUCAAGGCUAUUUGCGUUUACGAGGUUACAAGAGGAAGAGCUGGGAGUUGCAGGAUUUGGCCCCGAAUAGUAAGAGUAAGAAGCGACUGAAGACGUUUCCGAAGCAGAGUAGGAGGAGUAUUCAGGGAAUGAAUUACACGAAAAAUUCCACAAACAGUCGUAAGAAUGAGAGUUGGUAGAAGCAGAACACUCGACAGGUGUAGAAAGAAGAAAGCAGUAAUCACCUCUAUUAACAUCAUCAUUGUGUAAUUUUUUGGACGAAGACAAAAAACGAUCUAAUUGUGAUUUAAGAGUUUUUUUAUUAGAUAGAGUACUCAAGCGAUGUGAAAUUUUUCUAUAACGAUUGGGAACAGGGAUCUUGGUUUCACUCAGCAACUGAAAAACGGCGUCUUGCUUUGAUGCACAAGAAUGGGUAUCCUGAGACUGAUAAAUUAAAUCCAUCUCACUAGCUUGAGAGCUGCAAAGAUUAUGAUCCCAACAUUCGCAUUGACAAGUUACCGGAG